Long non-coding RNA from Rhagoletis pomonella (apple maggot), 836 nucleotides. RefSeq lists it as uncharacterized. The record is from RefSeq and is a predicted model, not a curated record. Lineage: Eukaryota; Metazoa; Arthropoda; Insecta; Diptera; Tephritidae. The transcript is spliced from 2 exons.
UAUAAACUAAAAACUAUUAAACAAAAUCUAAAAAUAACGGCGAGAGCAGCAUACCUGCGCCACACAAAAAACCACAUCCCCGCUAUACCUAGACGAGAAAAGGAAGUUAAAGGUGCCUCCACCCUAGUGCUGAAAUACGCAAGCAGCAGGGACCCGCAGGGAGCAUCGCUCACACCAAUCACAGGAAAUCAGCGGAGGUACAGGCGACAAAAAAAGCAUACAGGUGGUACAAAAUCAGGAAGCCAAAAUCAUCCAAGGAAACGAUGGAGCUGAACACGUGUCGUCUUUGCUGCCGCGUCCACUCCUUGCGGUACUGUCAUGCUUUCAAGGCCAUGACUCCAGCUGAAAGAUAUGAGUCUGCGCGCGUACAUAAGUACUGCGUAAACUGUUUGGCGACAUCGCAUGUUACGGGCGCCUGCCACUCACCUGCCAGCUGCCGUCGCUGCGGAAAAGCCCAUCACACGCUGUUGCAUCGAGCACCAUCCUCAUCGCCAGGUCGUAGUCGGCGAGAAAUGAACCGGAAGAAAACCGUGGCUAGUCGACGGGUGAUCCGAAAACCGAAGGGCAGAGUGCAGAGUCGGACUUCUACCCAGCAACGCAUACGGGAGUUGUUCAAGCGGGCUAUGCUUACGCUCCAAAGUCUACAACAGCUGCUACGUAUUCCAACGUUCCAGGCCGGCCGCCAUGUCGGAGACAUGAGCGCAGAUCUCACCGAUCGUAAAUCACUUUGUUAUUAAUGCACUGGUUCUUAAACCAUGAAUAUGAAAAAUUUGAAAUGUAAACCCACUGUAACUUUCGAAAUUUGAACCUACUCAUUGUAACUUAAUCUAUUGUAA